ACUCCUACGGGAGGCAGCAGUCGGGAAUUUUGGGCAAUGGGCGAAAGCCUGACCCAGCAACGCCGCGUGAAGGAUGAAAUCCCUCGGGAUGUAAACUUCGCAAGAACGGGAAGAAUAAGUAGGGGACAAUACCCCCUAUGAUGACGGUACCGUUUGUAAGCUCCGGCUAACUCCGUGCCAGCAGCCGCGGUAAU
Molecule: ribosomal RNA, 194 nt
Filed under: uncultured bacterium
Lineage: Bacteria
Description: partial 16S ribosomal RNA
Rfam family: Bacterial small subunit ribosomal RNA
Source: RNAcentral